This 422-nucleotide ribosomal RNA is filed under the name uncultured prokaryote. RNAcentral describes it as "bacterial SSU rRNA". It matches the Rfam family "Bacterial small subunit ribosomal RNA", at positions 355 to 796 of the family's 1533-position model. The record is from RNAcentral.
UUAGGAAUCUUCCCCAAUGGGCGCAAGCCUGAGGGAGCGACACUGCGUGAAGGAUGAAGGCUUUCGGGUUGUAAACUUCUGAACGAGGGACGAUAGUGACGGUACCUCGGAAAAAGCACCGGCUAACUCCGUGCCAGCAGCCGCGGUAAUACGGAGGGUGCGAGCGUUAUCCGGAAUCACUGGGCGUAAAGGGCGCGUAGGCGGUUAUUCAAGUCCGAUGUUAAAGCGUGGGGCUCAACCCCAUCAGGGCGUUGGAUACUGGAUGGCUAGACGGCUGGAGAGGCAAGUAGAAUUACCAGAGUAGCGGUGGAAUGCGUAGAUACUGGUAGGAAUACCGAUAGCGAAGGCAGCUUGCUGGACAGUUAGUGACGCUGAGGCGCGAAAGUGUGGGGAGCGAACCGGAUUAGAUACCCGUGUAGUCC